RNAcentral lists this non-coding RNA (23 nucleotides) under Arabidopsis thaliana (thale cress). The record is from RNAcentral. Lineage: Eukaryota; Viridiplantae; Streptophyta; Magnoliopsida; Brassicales; Brassicaceae.
AAAGGUCAAGAACACAGUGUCUG